This 428-nucleotide ribosomal RNA is filed under the name uncultured bacterium. RNAcentral's name for it is "partial 16S ribosomal RNA". It matches the Rfam family "Bacterial small subunit ribosomal RNA", at positions 338 to 795 of the family's 1533-position model. The record is from RNAcentral.
CCUACGGGAGGCAGCAGUGGGGAAUAUUGGACAAUGGGCGAAAGCCUGAUCCAGCAAUGCCGCGUGAGUGAUGAAGGCCUUAGGGUUGUAAAGCUCUUUUACUGGGAUACAGUACCCAGAGAAUAAGCCCGGCUAACUCCGUGCCAGCAGCCGCGGUAAUACGGAGGGGCUAGCGUUGUUCGGAAUUACUGGGCGUAAAGCGCACGUAGGCGGCUCAGCAAGUCAGGGGUGAAAUCCCGGGGCUCAACCCCGGAACUGCCCUUGAAACUGCUAAGCUAGAAUCUUGGAGAGGCGAGUGGAAUUCCGAGUGUAGAGGUGAAAUUCGUAGAUAUUCGGAAGAACACCAGUGGCGAAGGCGACUCGCUGGACAGAUUGACGCUGAGGUGCGAAAGCGUGGGGAGCAAACAGGAUUAGAUACCCUUGUAGUC